UACGUAGGGUGCAAGCGUUGUCCGGAAUUAUUGGGCGUAAAGAGCUCGUAGGCGGUCUGUCGCGUCGGAUGUGAAAAUCCAGGGCUCAACCCUGGACCUGCAUUCGAUACGGGCAGACUAGAGUUCGGCAGGGGAGACUGGAAUUCCUGGUGUAGCGGUGAAAUGCGCAGAUAUCAGGAAGAACACCGAUGGCGAAGGCAGUUCUCUGGGCCGUAACUGACGCUGAGGAGCGAAAGCGUGGGGAGCGAACAGG
Molecule: ribosomal RNA, 253 nt
Filed under: uncultured bacterium
Lineage: Bacteria
Description: partial 16S ribosomal RNA
Rfam family: Bacterial small subunit ribosomal RNA
Source: RNAcentral